This 637-nucleotide ribosomal RNA is filed under the name uncultured bacterium. RNAcentral describes it as "bacterial SSU rRNA". It matches the Rfam family "Bacterial small subunit ribosomal RNA", at positions 607 to 1244 of the family's 1533-position model. The record is from RNAcentral.
GCUCAACCGGGGAGGGUCAUUGGAAACUGGGGAACUUGAGUGCAGAAGAGGAGAGUGGAAUUCCACGUGUAGCGGUGAAAUGCGUAGAGAUGUGGAGGAACACCAGUGGCGAAGGCGACUCUCUGGUCUGUAACUGACGCUGAGGAGCGAAAGCGUGGGGAGCGAACAGGAUUAGAUACCCUGGUAGUCCACGCCGUAAACGAUGAGUGCUAAGUGUUAGGGGGUUUCCGCCCCUUAGUGCUGCAGCUAACGCAUUAAGCACUCCGCCUGGGGAGUACGGUCGCAAGACUGAAACUCAAAGGAAUUGACGGGGGCCCGCACAAGCGGUGGAGCAUGUGGUUUAAUUCGAAGCAACGCGAAGAACCUUACCAGGUCUCGACAUCCUCUGACAAUCCUAGAGAUAGGACGUCCCCUUCGGGGGCAGAGUGACAGGUGGUGCAUGGUUGUCGUCAGCUCGUGUCGUGAGAUGUUGGGUUAAGUCCCGCAACGAGCGCAACCCUUGAUCUUAGUUGCCAGCAUUCAGUUGGGCACUCUAAGGUGACUGCCGGUGACAAACCGGAGGAAGGUGGGGAUGACGUCAAAUCAUCAUGCCCCUUAUGACCUGGGCUACACACGUGCUACAAUGGACAGAACAAAG